GACGAACGCUGGCGGCGUGCUUAACACAUGCAAGUCGAGCGGUAAGGCCCUUUCGGGGGUACACGAGCGGCGAACGGGUGAGUAACACGUGGGUGACCUGCCCUCAGCUCUGGGAUAAGCCUGGGAAACCGGGUCUAAUACCGGAUAUGACUCCAUGACGCAUGUUGUGGGGUGGAAAGCCUUGUGCGGCUGAGGAUGGGCCCGCGGCCUAUCAGCUUGUUGGUGGGGUGANGGCCUACCAAGGCGACGACGGGUAGCCGGCCUGAGAGGGCGACCGGCCACACUGGGACUGAGACACGGCCCAGACUCCUACGGGAGGCAGCAGUGGGGAAUCUUGCGCAAUGGGCGAAAGCCUGACGCAGCGACGCCGCGUGAGGGAUGACGGCCUCGGUGUAAC
This 397-nucleotide ribosomal RNA is filed under the name uncultured bacterium. RNAcentral describes it as "bacterial SSU rRNA". It matches the Rfam family "Bacterial small subunit ribosomal RNA", at positions 28 to 429 of the family's 1533-position model. The record is from RNAcentral.